CUGAAGAUAGCUUAAUUUACUUUGAAAGUGGGGGAUUCUUGAUCCUUUGAUGUUAUUUUUUAACUCUUUAGG
This 72-nucleotide transfer RNA is filed under the name Trichobilharzia szidati. RNAcentral describes it as "tRNA-Lys". The record is from RNAcentral. Lineage: Eukaryota; Metazoa; Platyhelminthes; Trematoda; Strigeidida; Schistosomatidae.